AGAGUUUGAUCAUGGCUCAGAUUGAACGCUGGCGGCAGGCCUAACACAUGCAAGUCGAGCGGUAGCACAGAGAGCUUGCUCUCGGGUGACGAGCGGCGGACGGGUGAGUAAUGUCUGGGAAACUGCCUGAUGGAGGGGGAUAACUACUGGAAACGGUAGCUAAUACCGCAUAACGUCGCAAGACCAAAGUGGGGGACCUUCGGGCCUCAUGCCAUCAGAUGUGCCCAGAUGGGAUUAGCUAGUAGGUGGGGUAACGGCUCACCUAGGCGACGAUCCCUAGCUGGUCUGAGAGGAUGACCAGCCACACUGGAACUGAGACACGGUCCAGACUCCUACGGGAGGCAGCAGUGGGGAAUAUUGCACAAUGGGCGCAAGCCUGAUGCAGCCAUGCCGCGUGUGUGAAGAAGGCCUUCGGGUUGUAAAGCACUUUCAGCGGGGAGGAAGGCGAUAAGGUUAAUAACCUCAUCGAUUGACGUUACCCGCAGAAGAAGCACCGGCUAACUCCGUGCCAGCAGCCGCGGUAAUACGGAGGGUGCAAGCGUUAAUCGGAAUUACUGGGCGUAAAGCGCACGCAGGCGGUCUGUCAAGUCGGAUGUGAAAUCCCCGGGCUCAACCUGGGAACUGCAUUCGAAACUGGCAGGCUAGAGUCUUGUAGAGGGGGGUAGAAUUCCAGGUGUAGCGGUGAAAUGCGUAGAGAUCUGGAGGAAUACCGGUGGCGAAGGCGGCCCCCUGGACAAAGACUGACGCUCAGGUGCGAAAGCGUGGGGAGCAAACAGGAUUAGAUACCCUGGUAGUCCACGCCGUAAACGAUGUCGAUUUGGAGGUUGUGCCCUUGAGGCGUGGCUUCCGGAGCUAACGCGUUAAAUCGACCGCCUGGGGAGUACGGCCGCAAGGUUAAAACUCAAAUGAAUUGACGGGGGCCCGCACAAGCGGUGGAGCAUGUGGUUUAAUUCGAUGCAACGCGAAGAACCUUACCUGGUCUUGACAUCCACAGAACUUAGCAGAGAUGCUUUGGUGCCUUCGGGAACUGUGAGACAGGUGCUGCAUGGCUGUCGUCAGCUCGUGUUGUGAAAUGUUGGGUUAAGUCCCGCAACGAGCGCAACCCUUAUCCUUUGUUGCCAGCGGUUAGGCCGGGAACUCAAAGGAGACUGCCAGUGAUAAACUGGAGGAAGGUGGGGAUGACGUCAAGUCAUCAUGGCCCUUACGACCAGGGCUACACACGUGCUACAAUGGCAUAUACAAAGAGAAGCGACCUCGCGAGAGCAAGCGGACCUCAUAAAGUAUGUCGUAGUCCGGAUUGGAGUCUGCAACUCGACUCCAUGAAGUCGGAAUCGCUAGUAAUCGUAGAUCAGAAUGCUACGGUGAAUACGUUCCCGGGCCUUGUACACACCGCCCGUCACACCAUGGGAGUGGGUUGCAAAAGAAGUAGGUAGCUUAACCUUCGGGAGGGCGCUUACCACUUUGUGAUUCAUGACUGGGGUGAAGUCGUAACAAGGUAACCGUAGGGGAACCUGCGGUUG
This 1520-nucleotide ribosomal RNA is filed under the name Klebsiella pneumoniae. Its description in RNAcentral is "bacterial SSU rRNA". It matches the Rfam family "Bacterial small subunit ribosomal RNA". The record is from RNAcentral. Lineage: Bacteria; Pseudomonadati; Pseudomonadota; Gammaproteobacteria; Enterobacterales; Enterobacteriaceae. RNAcentral also lists the same sequence under 1 other name.